RNAcentral lists this ribosomal RNA (1037 nucleotides) under Microascus globulosus. RNAcentral's name for it is "SSU rRNA". It matches the Rfam family "Eukaryotic small subunit ribosomal RNA", at positions 74 to 1121 of the family's 1831-position model. Lineage: Eukaryota; Fungi; Ascomycota; Sordariomycetes; Microascales; Microascaceae. The record is from RNAcentral.
UUAUACCGCGAAACUGCGAAUGGCUCAUUAUAUAAGUUAUCGUUUAUUUGAUAGCACGUUACUACUUGGAUAACCGUGGUAAUUCUAGAGCUAAUACAUGCUAAAAACCCCGACUUCGGAAGGGGUGUAUUUAUUAGAUUAAAAGCCAACGCCCUUCGGGGCUCUGUGGUGAUUCAUGAUAACUUUUCGAAUCGCAUGGCCUUGCGCCGGCGAUGGUUCAUUCAAAUUUCUUCCCUAUCAACUUUCGAUGCGAGGGUCUUGUCCUCGCAUGGUUGCAACGGGUAACGGAGGGUUAGGGCUCGACCCCGGAGAAGGAGCCUGAGAAACGGCUACUACAUCCAAGGAAGGCAGCAGGCGCGCAAAUUACCCAAUCCCGACACGGGGAGGUAGUGACAAUAAAUACUGAUACAGGGCUCUUUAGGGUCUUGUAAUCGGAAUGAGUACAAUUUAAAUCCCUUAACGAGGAACAAUUGGAGGGCAAGUCUGGUGCCAGCAGCCGCGGUAAUUCCAGCUCCAAUAGCGUAUAUUAAAGUUGUUGUGGUUAAAAAGCUCGUAGUCGAACCUUGGGCCUGGCCGGCCGGUCCCCCUCACCGGGUGCACUGAUCCGGCCGGGCCUUUCCCUCUGUGGAACCCCAUGGCCUUCACUGGCUGUGCGGGGGAAACAGGACUUUUACUGUGAAAAAAUUAGAGUGCUCCAGGCAGGCCUAUGCUCGAAUACAUUAGCAUGGAAUAAUAGAAUAGGACGCGUGGUUCUAUUUUGUUGGUUUCUAGGACCGCCGUAAUGAUUAAUAGGGACAGUCGGGGGCAUCAGUAUUCAAUUGUCAGAGGUGAAAUUCUUGGAUCUAUUGAAGACUAACUACUGCGAAAGCAUUUGCCAAGGAUGUUUUCAUUGAUAAGGAACGAAAGUUAGGGGAUCGAAGACGAUCAGAUACCGUCGUAGUCUUAACUAUAAACUAUGCCGACUAGGGAUCGGACGAUGUUAUUUCUUGACGCGUUCGGCACCUUUCGAGAAAUCAAAGUGCUUGGGCUCCAGGGGA